Molecule: ribosomal RNA, 422 nt
Filed under: uncultured bacterium
Lineage: Bacteria
Description: bacterial SSU rRNA
Rfam family: Bacterial small subunit ribosomal RNA
Source: RNAcentral
AGAAUCUUCCGCAAUGGGCGAAAGCCUGACGGAGCGACGCCGCGUGGAGGACGAAGGCCCUCGGGUUGUAAACUCCUGUCACGGGUUAUGAAUGUGUAUGCGUUAAUAGCGCAUGCAUUGACGUAAGCCCGAGAGGAAGCACCGGCUAACUCCGUGCCAGCAGCCGCGGUAAUACGGAGGGUGCGAACGUUGUUCGGAAUCACUGGGCAUAAAGAGCUCGUAGGCGGCUGUGCAAGUGUGAAGUGAAAUCCCACGGCUCACCCGUGGAACUGCUUUGCAGACUGCACGGCUAGAGGAUGGUAGGGGAGAGCGGAACUCCUGGUGGAGCGGUGAAAUGCGUAGAUAUCAGGAGGAACACCGGUGGCGAAGGCGGCUCUCUGGUCCAUUUCUGACGCUGAGGAGCGAAAGCCAGGGUAGCGAAC